This 148-nucleotide small RNA is filed under the name Theobroma cacao (cacao). RNAcentral's name for it is "sRNA Tc03v2_g005000". Lineage: Eukaryota; Viridiplantae; Streptophyta; Magnoliopsida; Malvales; Malvaceae. The record is from RNAcentral.
AGAGAAAAUUCAUUGGAUUUCAAGGAAUUAAGCAAGUAAAGGUGGUGAAACUUCCGAUAAGGGUAAGGAGAUUGUACCCGAAGAUCGGGACUAGGAGUACUUCGACUCCCGAUAUUUCACUGCAGUGGCGAGUUUCCGUGGACUAGCG